UCCAUGGUGGCUCAGAUGUAGAGUAUCUGUCUACAAUGCAGAAGACCUGGGUUCGAGCCCUGGGUUGGGAA
Molecule: transfer RNA, 71 nt
Filed under: Ovis aries (sheep)
Lineage: Eukaryota; Metazoa; Chordata; Mammalia; Artiodactyla; Bovidae
Rfam family: tRNA
About the family: Transfer RNA (tRNA) molecules are approximately 80 nucleotides in length.
Source: Rfam by way of RNAcentral